AAGCCAAUUAGUCUGCUCAUCUGAAUGUGUUUCUGCAGAAAUUUAGAAACAGCUGGUAAUAGUGAUGCUGUUUAUGAGCCUUAAGGACAACCAAGGUCAUUACAGUCCCCCCCCCAAAUGUCUACAAUA
RNAcentral lists this small nucleolar RNA (129 nucleotides) under Jaculus jaculus (lesser Egyptian jerboa). Its description in RNAcentral is "Small nucleolar RNA SNORA33 (ENSJJAG00000009956.1)". Lineage: Eukaryota; Metazoa; Chordata; Mammalia; Rodentia; Dipodidae. The record is from RNAcentral.